Molecule: long non-coding RNA, 370 nt
Filed under: Carica papaya (papaya)
Lineage: Eukaryota; Viridiplantae; Streptophyta; Magnoliopsida; Brassicales; Caricaceae
Description: long non-coding RNA (CPAP_LNC005944)
Source: RNAcentral
AAACAAAGUGGUCCAUGAAUCUCUAUAGAAUGUCAAAGUCUCAAUUAAUGGCCUCCCGCGUCAUUUCUGCAAGAUUUCGUAGACCGUUAUUGGAGCCAACGUCGGCUCAAAUGACUCGUCUCAUGCAUCGGCUCGGCUUCCGUGGGACCCGCACCCCGCUCCUACCUUAAUCCUCUCUGUCCUGUAUUAUGCAGGAUGACACGUGAACCCGAUGCUUAUUUCACACGUGUCACGUUAUGAUUGGGAGAGCUGGUUGAAGGGAUAGCCGUUUCCCACAUGGACGAAAUCAAGGUGGUGUGGAGGUGUGAAUUGGGACCAUCUGAUCUUAACUGCGUUCCUCGUCUUAAAUUCAUUAUUAUGGAACAGGUUC